This 497-nucleotide ribosomal RNA is filed under the name uncultured bacterium. RNAcentral describes it as "partial 16S ribosomal RNA". It matches the Rfam family "Bacterial small subunit ribosomal RNA", at positions 28 to 507 of the family's 1533-position model. The record is from RNAcentral.
GAUGAACGCUGGCGGCGUGCCUAAUACAUGCAAGUCGAGCGAACAGACGAGGAGCUUGCUCCUCUGACGUUAGCGGCGGAAGGGUGAGUAACACGUGGAUAACCUACCUAUAAGACUGGGACAACUUCGGGAAACUGGAGCCAAUACCGGCUAAUAUAUUGAACCGCAUGGUUUAAUAAUGAAAGCCGGUUUUGCUGUCACUUAUAGAUUGAUCCGCGCCGCAUUAGCUAGUUGGUAAGGUAACGGAUUACCAAGGCAACGAUGCGUAGCCGACCGGGGAGGGUGAUCGGCCACACUGGAACUGAGACAGGGUCCCUACUCCUGCGGGAGGCUGCAGUAGGGAACCUGCCGCAAUGGGCGAAAGCCUGACGGAGCAGCGCCGCGUGAGUGAUGAAGGUCUUCGGAUCGUAAUACUCUGUUAUUAGUGAAGAACAAAUGUGUAAGUAACUAUGCACGUAUUGACGGUACCUAAUCAGAAAGCCACGGCUAACUACGUG